This 422-nucleotide ribosomal RNA is filed under the name uncultured bacterium. Its description in RNAcentral is "bacterial SSU rRNA". It matches the Rfam family "Bacterial small subunit ribosomal RNA", at positions 355 to 774 of the family's 1533-position model. The record is from RNAcentral.
UAAGGAAUAUUGGUCAAUGGACGCAAGUCUGAACCAGCCAUGCCGCGUGGAGGAUUAAGGCCCUCUGGGUUGUAAACUCCUUUUAUCUGGGAAGAAAUGUACUUUUUCUUGAGUACUUGACGGUACCAGAGGAAUAAGCACCGGCUAACUCCGUGCCAGCAGCCGCGGUAAUACGGAGGGUGCAAGCGUUAUCCGGAUUCACUGGGUUUAAAGGGUGCGUAGGUGGGCAGGUAAGUCAGUGGUGAAAUCUCCGGGCUUAACCCGGAAACUGCCGUUGAUACUAUUUGUCUUGAAUAUUGUGGAGGUAAGCGGAAUAUGUCAUGUAGCGGUGAAAUGCUUAGAUAUGACAUAGAAUACCAAUUGCGAAGGCAGCUUACUACACAAUCAUUGACGCUGAGGCACGAAAGCGUGGGGAUCAAACA